RNAcentral lists this ribosomal RNA (359 nucleotides) under uncultured fungus. Its description in RNAcentral is "eukaryotic LSU rRNA". Lineage: Eukaryota; Fungi. The record is from RNAcentral.
AGAGUUAAAUAGUACGUGAAAUUGCUAAAAGGGAAACGUUUGGAAUUAGUGUUGUUGCUGGCAAAUCAGUCAUUCGGAGCGAUUCGGAUGGUGCACUUUGUCAGUGGCAGGUCAACAUCAGUUUUGCUCGGCGGAAAAAGGUGAAGGGAAGGUAGCAGUGCUUUCGGGUGCUGUGUUAUAGCCCUCAUUGAUACGCUGGGUGGGACUGAGGACUGCAGCACAGGCCUUUAGGCUGGCCGCCUGGAGUUUUCUAUUAGCCUCUGAUCGGACAGCACGCUGACCGGUUGGAGAUACUGGUGGAAUUAUUUCAGUCCGGUACAACUGUGCUUAGGAUGUUGACGAAAUGGUUUUAAACGACC